Molecule: ribosomal RNA, 497 nt
Filed under: uncultured bacterium
Lineage: Bacteria
Description: partial 16S ribosomal RNA
Rfam family: Bacterial small subunit ribosomal RNA
Source: RNAcentral
GAUGAACGCUGGCGGCGUGCCUAACACAUGCAAGUCGAGCGAACGGACGAGAAGCUUGCUUUUCUGAUGUUAGCGGCGGACGGGUGAGUAAAACGUGGAUAACCUACCUAUAAGACUGGGAUAACUUCGGGAAACCGGAGCUAAUACCGGAUAAUAGUUUGAACCGCAUGGUUCAAAAGUGAAAGACGGCCUUGCUGUCACUUAUAGAUGGAUCCGCGCUGCAUUAGCUAGUUGGUAAGGUAACGGCUUACCAAGGCAACGAUGCAUAGCCGACCUGAGAGGGUGAUCGGCCACACUGGAACUGAGACACGGUCCAGACUCCUACGGGAGGCAGCAGUAGGGAAUCUUCCGCAAUGGGCGAAAGCCUGACGGAGCAACGCCGCGUGAGUGAUGAAGGUCUUCGGAUCGUAAAACUCUGUUAUUAGGGAAGAACAUAUGUGUAAGUAACUGUGCACAUCUUGACGGUACCUAAUCAGAAAGCCACGGCUAACUACGUG